Molecule: unclassified non-coding RNA, 310 nt
Filed under: uncultured fungus
Lineage: Eukaryota; Fungi
Description: partial contains 5.8S ribosomal RNA and internal transcribed spacer 2
Rfam family: 5.8S ribosomal RNA (bases 1-133)
Source: RNAcentral
UGGUUCUGGCAUCGAUGAAGAACGCAGCGAAAUGUGAUAAGUAGUGUGAAUUGCAGAAUUCCGUGAAUCAUCGAAUCUUUGAACGCACAUUGCGCCUGCUGGUAUUCCAGCAGGCAUGCCUGUUCGAGCGUCAUUUCACAGUCAAGCUUUGCUUGGUGUUGGGCGGUGUUUCGAUCGCAAGAUGGAAACAGGCCUCAAAUAUAUUGGCAGCCGGUGUGAGAAAGCAGCGCAGCACAAUUGCGUGGUGACGCUCAUACUGGCGUCCAGAAGAUACCACUUUGACCUCGGAUCAGGUAGGGAUACCCGCUGA